This 357-nucleotide long non-coding RNA is filed under the name Monodelphis domestica (gray short-tailed opossum). RNAcentral describes it as "lncRNA (ENSMODG00000036357.2)". The record is from RNAcentral. Lineage: Eukaryota; Metazoa; Chordata; Mammalia; Didelphimorphia; Didelphidae.
AUGGGACAGGUCACAUCCUUCAGGCUGGUAUGUCUACUGCAGGUAUCCAAACAUUGUAAUGAAAUCACCUCCCUUUCUUUAUUUCCAGACGAAACAUAUUUAACUUUGAAGUCCCUUCUUCAGAAGGUAGAGCUUCUCUUCCUUUGCUUAUCCCGUUAUUUCCCUAAAACCUGGAUGUGGUUUUCAAGAGUCAUCCAAGUCAAGAUGGGAAGACAAAAGUUAAGAUAACUGAUGACAGCCUGGGAUGCGAUGCCUGACCUUGGUGACUUCAGUGUCUGACCAAGUCCCAAGCACUCCACAAUGCUUGCUUCAGUUGCCUUCAUGUCUACUGGAACAAAUUGUUCUUGUCUGCCCAUU